RNAcentral lists this ribosomal RNA (460 nucleotides) under uncultured bacterium. RNAcentral's name for it is "partial 16S ribosomal RNA". It matches the Rfam family "Bacterial small subunit ribosomal RNA", at positions 338 to 795 of the family's 1533-position model. The record is from RNAcentral.
CCUACGGGGAGCAGCAGUGAGGAAUAUUGGUCAAUGGGCGGGAGCCUGAACCAGCCAAGUCGCGUGAAGGAAGAAGGUACGUAGUAUUGUAAACUUCUUUUGUCGGGGAACAAAGGCGGAGACGCGUCUCCGGAUGAGUGUACACGCAGAAAAAGCAUAGGCGAACUCGGUGCCAGCAGCAGCGGGAAAACGUCGGUGGCAAGAGUUAACCGGAUUUAUGGGGUGUAAAGGGCGUGUCGGCGGGAGCGAAAGUCAGAUGUGAAAACUCAGGGCUCAACCCUGAGCCUGCAUUUGAAACUGUGUUUCUUGAGUGCUGGAGAGGCAAUCGGAAUUCCGUGUGUAGCGGUGAAAUGCGUAGAUAUACGGAGGAACACCAGUGGCGAAGGCGGAUUGCUGGACAGUAACUGACGCUGAGGCGCGAAAGCGUGGGGAGCAAACAGGAUUAGAUACCCCGGUAGUC